Non-coding RNA from Phoenix dactylifera (date palm), 471 nucleotides. The record is from RefSeq and is a predicted model, not a curated record. NCBI's taxonomy places the organism in Eukaryota, Viridiplantae, Streptophyta, Magnoliopsida, Arecales, Arecaceae.
GCAUUUGGUAUCUUACGCUGUGCGGAUUUGACCAUCGCGGGCGUCUCCGGAAGACAGCCCGACUGAUGGCAACAAUUAAAAUGUCCCAGCCCAACCUGAAUUUUUUAUGGAUCUUCUUCAAUCUCCAGGAACCAACCCAUAUUUAUUUAAGGAAAGCAAGCUACAAGUGAACAUGCAGAGGACUGUCAGAGCUCAAGAAACAUUAAUAUCAAAUAAAAAAACUUCAAAUGAGAGCAGAGCCAUAGAAACAUCAAGGCCAAAAUGGUGGAGGUCAUAAUAGACUAGGCCCUCCCUUGGCAUGGUUUGAAUUCUCUUUCACCUAUACUAUGGGGGAGUACUAAUUGCUACGGCAUGGUAGCUACUUAAGUCACAUUUAGUAGAGUUUUCAUCUGUAAAGUUUUGAGCAGUAAAACUUGUGCAAAUUAACUUUUUAUAAAAAGUUAUCUACUAUUUGAUAACUACAUUUUUGAA